CCCAACCCAACCUGGGGGGCGGCAAAGAUUCCGGGAGGAAUAACAUCCCGCUGGAAAGCCAAUUUGAAGAAGGAUUCUGUCCCUUGCAACUGAAAAAAUGAUUUGUCUUGCGUUCCUCCUGGCUCACCUUCCUGACUGCGUUGUUCCUUAUCAUCCUGGGCUCCUCUGCUGUGCUCUGAGGCCCACUGCUGGGAAGAACCACUGUGCUUGUCACUGCUCGUCACCACCUGUGACGCCCAGAUGCUGCUUUGCUGGCUUGGAUAAAGCAAGUUGCCAUGUUGGGGAGUCCCAUGUGCCAAGGAACUGAGGACAGUCUCCAGCCAACAGCCACUUAGGAGCCUUAGCCCCCAGUCCAACAACCCAAAAGGAACCGAGUCCUGCCGACAACCAGUUAAACACCCACUAAGCGGAUUUCAGGACCUACUAAUGAAGGCAUUGCCCAAGGUCACACAGCGAGCCAGAGGUGAAAGGGAAGCCAGAAGCAGAUGUCGCGGCCUCUAGUCCAUCCGGGCGCUCUCCCUGCCCUGUCCCCGGGCCGAGUCCAGUUUAGGCUGGGUGACUGCUCAUCCCAGAGAGCGCAGCCCAGGAAACAGUGGGAGGUGGAGGACGUGGAGCUUGGAUGGGGCCGGGAAUCCCCCAGGCUUGAGCGGGAUGGGCCACAGCCCUCUUUUCCCCCCACUGGUGAAACCCUGCUGAGGAAUUAAGUCAAUAUACAGAAAAUCACAGCCAAGAGCUGGAGAGAGAAAGAGAGCUCUGACAUCAUCAUUGAGCACCUGGAUCCAGCCAUACCUGAAGCCAGUGCCUCUACAGUGUUUACAUACGUUAGCUAAUAUUUCUUUUUAACUUAAG
RNAcentral lists this long non-coding RNA (849 nucleotides) under Equus caballus (horse). RNAcentral describes it as "lncRNA (ENSECAG00000031306.3)". The record is from RNAcentral. Lineage: Eukaryota; Metazoa; Chordata; Mammalia; Perissodactyla; Equidae.